Fundulus heteroclitus (mummichog) is the source of this 1128-nucleotide long non-coding RNA. RefSeq lists it as uncharacterized. NCBI's taxonomy places the organism in Eukaryota, Metazoa, Chordata, Actinopteri, Cyprinodontiformes, Fundulidae. The record is from RefSeq and is a predicted model, not a curated record. The transcript has 3 exons.
GCGUCUCAGCAGAGAGGAAGCCCGCUUCAUGUUAAAGUUGAUCCAGUUGUGCUGUUCUAAACAGGCCUUCUUCGCCUCCACUGUUGGAAUAUCUCUAUACCUCCCUAUAAUCAAAGGAGUCCUGCAGAGUGAAAUUCUGACUGUAAUAAAAUAUUAAAGAGACAUAUGCAUUGUGUUUUGUUCUAAAAUUUUCCCUACACUUGAAUCUAUUAUAUAACUCUCUUAACUACUUUGUGAUGCAUCGUGGUACAUUGAACUGUAAAGGUUAUGUGAAAUUUGUACUAAUAUUCAGCUCUAGAAUCCAGUCAAAUGUGUCCUUUUUUACUUUGAGCACCUGCCCCUUCAGUGGUCUCUGCGCGGCCCUGGUUGAGAUUAAAGUGAAGUUACAAGACGGGGUUGUUUUUUUUAACUUUAAUGUCUGACUAGAGCGCUGGAGUUUACUUGGAAAUUAAUAAUUAGCUUGUUUUUAAUAUUGAUGCUGGGAAUAUUGCCUAAUUAAAGAGAACAACCCUGACUGCACACAUGUUAAUAUGCGGGGGGGUUUUACACUAGGAUUUAAACAUUAAGCAACGUUAAAAUAUUGAAGGUCAAAAGAUUGUUUUAAAAACAUUUUUAUGGUUAAUAAAAAUCUACUUUCAUAGAAAUAUUAAAAAUAAACAGUUAACUUUAAAAUUAAGAUUUAAUGGAGGAUCAUUUAUAAACCUUAUAAAGGUGAGUAACAACAAGUUGAAAUAAAGAGGCGUUCAAAUGUGUGUAGACAAGAACAGGUGAGUCAAAAUAUUUUUACAAGCAACUGAAGUGAUGAUGGAGAUCAUAUGAAUAAUCGUGAUUAGUCGACAAUAAAAAUAAUCGUUAGUUGCAGCCAUAAUUCCAAUGACUUUCUGCAUCUUUGUUUUGGGUUCAAAGCCAACUCUUGUUGAUUUUGUGAAAAUGACAUUGGAACUGUUGACCAUUUGUUCUUUCAUUAUUUGUUCUCAGAGGCAUUUUGGCCUGGAUAUUUUCUUGUGGUGGCAUCCUAAAGUUUCUCAGCUGGGGAAGUUCUGUUUGAAAGGUAUUAUAUACGGACUGAUUCUGGAAUGCCGGAAAAACUCUUUCUUGGUGAACACUAUUCCAAUACUUGGUGGGGAA